GUCCCGCAGACAGUGCGGUGCGACGGUACGAAGCACGCGCGAGAG
Small nucleolar RNA from Trypanosoma cruzi strain CL Brener, 45 nucleotides. It matches the Rfam family "Trypanosomatid snoRNA TB10Cs3H1", at positions 17 to 62 of the family's 62-position model. Lineage: Eukaryota; Euglenozoa; Kinetoplastea; Trypanosomatida; Trypanosomatidae. The record is from Rfam.